Molecule: ribosomal RNA, 473 nt
Filed under: uncultured bacterium
Lineage: Bacteria
Description: partial 16S ribosomal RNA
Rfam family: Bacterial small subunit ribosomal RNA
Source: RNAcentral
UGGGAAUUUUGGACAAUGGGCGCAAGCCUGAUCCAGCCAUGCCGCGUGCGGGAAGAAGGCCUUCGGGUUGUAAACCGCUUUUGUCAGGGAAGAAAUCUUCUGAGUUAAUACCUCGGGAGGAUGACGGUACCUGAAGAAUAAGCACCGGCUAACUACGUGCCAGCAGCCGCGGUAAUACGUAGGGUGCAAGCGUUAAUCGGAAUUACUGGGCGUAAAGCGUGCGCAGGCGGUUUUGUAAGACAGAGGUGAAAUCCCCGGGCUCAACCUGGGAACUGCCUUUGUGACUGCAAGGCUUGAGUGCGGCAGAGGGGGAUGGAAUUCCGCGUGUAGCAGUGAAAUGCGUAGAUAUGCGGAGGAACACCGACGGCGAAGGCAAUCCCCCUGGGCCUGCACUGACGCUCAUGCACGAAAGCGUGGGGAGCAAACAGGAUUAGAUAGCCCUGGUAGUCCACGCCCUAAACGAUGUCAACUGG